AUGCUGGUCUCUUUUUAUCUCCUUUCUGAACUGCAAGAAUUAACAGACAGCUGCAUCAGUCUUUCAAGCUUAUUGUUACAACCUGAGUAGAUCAGACCUUAAUUCUUGCUUGAUUUUAUUUAUAAGGGUGGCAGAGGCUCUCAUGUAAUGGUGUGUCUCUACCAGCUCUGGCUUGGAGAGGCACCCUGCUGAUCACAAGAUUCCCAGUAAGCUCACCAGUGAUUUAAAACUUAAACCUUGGAGCUAUUCAGUUCCUGGAAAAUUAUCAUUAAUUAAUUAGGUGGCAGGUGGUGAGUUCCAAGGGUUUUAUUACUAUUAAUUCAAACUGGAAAUUAGAAAUAAAAAUGAAGGAGCAAAAUAACUGAAAAUCCAGAAGAGAGGUUUUCAUUAAUCCUUUCAGUUCAGUGCUACAGAAGAUUAAUGAGUUCUGUUCAAGCUGAGAUAGGCAUCCAAUACAAAACCUUCCAAAAUGUAUAUUUCAGAGGUAAGCUGGAGAGAAACAGCUUAGAGAAAAAAAGUAAUCUCAAAAUAAAAUUGAAAAUGAGACCAACACUGCUUCAAAUUUACAGUGAUCACCUGUAUUUUCAUAUGCAUAUCCAGUGAUUAUUACUAGCAACAUAAAACAAAGAUUCUUCUCCCCAUAAUUCAGCAUCACUGUGGGUUAUAUAUAUGAGUGAAGGAAACACUAGGGAAGUUUGCCCCAGAAGCUCCCCCAUAGCCUCCUCCCUUUUCUCUGAUUUUUUGACCUCUGACUGUUUUAUCAUGCUUUGUUUCAAAAGAGGCAAUUUAUCUGCAGGUUCAUCCAGAACAGCUCAAUGGUCUUUCUCAAAACUACAGUUCACUGGUUUUGUCAAAUCUAGGAUACAGGAGGCAGCUACUGCAAAACCCAUUCAAGACUCAAAUCUGAUGCAGAACUCCAAAAUCUUCUAGCUAAAAAUGAGCAAACCUGAUGAUCCUAUUGAGAUUCAAGACUCCUUGGUUCUUUGGCACCCUAUUCAUUACCAGUAGCAGAGUAGUGCCCUUCUUCUUCAUGUUUGUCCAGACUGC
This 1047-nucleotide long non-coding RNA is filed under the name Anser brachyrhynchus (Pink-footed goose). RNAcentral describes it as "lncRNA (ENSABRG00000000728.1)". Lineage: Eukaryota; Metazoa; Chordata; Aves; Anseriformes; Anatidae. The record is from RNAcentral.